CCACCUGCUCUGGCUGGCAAUUCUGGUUCUCCAGCAACCGGUUUCAGAAGAGCUCCUCCUCCUUGUGGAUGGUCAGUGGCUUCUGCUUAUCUGGAGAGCCCUGUCACAGAAGGAUCCAGCUCAUCACUGAGAUACAAUCUGGACCCUGCCUCCUAAUAAUAAGGGCAUCACUUUCCUGUGCAAAGGCUUCCUGCCAGUCCACCAGUUACCAAGAUAUCCCAGCUCCUCCUCCAAGCCAGUGUCAUGAAGAUGUGCUGGGUAAGCUAAUCUAGGAAGCUCAGUGGCAAGUUCUCUUCCCUAAUUCCUUGCAUUGGGCCUCCCAAAUGACAUUGGCUGAGGGUGGUGGGGGCUGGUGAGGAAGAGGCCCGAGUUCAGAAUCUUUGAUUUUACAAUCCAUUGUCACACUGGAGAGUGGUGUGAACGCUUACUCUUGGUUUGCUGUUGACUUUUUCAGGAACUGAAGUAUUUGACUUUUUUCCAUUAAGGUGAUUUUGAGGAGAAGAACUGAAGGAAAUGAAUUCUCCAAAAUAAUUAUCUGUAAUCAGUUAUUGGAAGAGAGCAUGUUAAAGACGAACCUAGAGAAACAUUGGCUUGAAUGCCCCGUUCAAAUCCAGCAUAGCUUACUUUCGUGGGCAUGGAGACCUUAUUGAAUUGUAGUGUAGCAGAUUCUGUGAGCCGACAUACAGAGAUGAUCAGCAAGUUCCAGAUUCAUAGAGUCACAAAUAACUGAAUCAUCAGUAUGCCUGUGCUGUCCAGACUGGUCUCCCAGGAUUUAGCCCAACCAGUAACCCCGACAGGAAGGAAGACACAUUCAGUUCAAUAAACUUGCACACAGCAUCUUCUCCUGUAAGCACUUUGCAAUGUACUGAAUGAGCAUGAGAAUAAGUCAUGGGUUCUCUCUUUCAGGAGUCUUUGGAGGUGGAUACAUUUGUACCCAACUAUAAUACAAGGCAGAAUGUGAUAAGUACUAUAAUAGAAGUUGAAAUGCUAAAUGGACAGGAGAAGAGGAAUUUAUUACAGCUUAUGGGAUCUGGGAGGCUUCACAGCAGAGUGAGUUCUGGUGGGAUAGGUAGGAUUUUGUUAGGCAGAAGUGGGAAGAGAAUCAUUUGUGUGACUACAAUGCAAGUGCACAGGAUGAGAGGGUGAGGGUCAAGGUAGGAAAUGGCCUCCAAGAUGGCACCCAAUAAUCCCCUCCUUCUGGUACUCAUGUUCUUUUGUAGUCCUCCCAGCUCUUUAUCAGGUUUGGUCUGUGUGACCAAUGGGAUAUGGUGGAAGUGAUGGUGUGUGGCUUCUAAGACUGUGUCACAGAAGAUGUCACCACUUCCCUGCUGCAUUCUGGAUUACCUACUCUGCGGGAAGCCAGCUGCCUUGGCAUGAGCACACACAGUGGCCUAGGUAGAGACUUGUGUGGGGAAGGAACGGAAGUCUCCUGCCAGGAGCCAGCACCAACCUGUGGGUCCGUGUGAAUGAGCAGUCUUAGAAGUUGAUUUCCUGGCACUGGGCCAGGGCUUCAGGUGACUGCAGUCCAGAUGACACCAUGACUGAAAGUGAUGGGAGAUCUUGAGCCAAAACUGCUCAGCUAGGACAGUCCUGAAUUCUGACCCACAGUAACUUUGAGGUAACAAGUGUUUUAUUGAUGCUUUAAGCCUCUAGUUUUGAGGGCACUUUGUUAGGCAUCAAUAGACACACUAUGCAGAAAUGAAGACUUGGGGAGAAGUCUGGGAGAAGCCUUAAUUUUUAAAGGGCUGUACUUCUGUGCAGCGGGGUUAUCGGUUUUUUUUUUUUUUUUUUUAAACUGUAAAGGAUGAUAAUUCUGGUGCUGUGCAUGAUCUAAGUUGGCAAAAGAAGUGCUGGAGCAGGAAGAUAAUUUAAGAGGCUGCUGCAGUAGUCCAGAUCAGAGGUGAUGAGGGAGCCUAAGUGGAGGUACCUUGGGGAGGGAGGAAUAGAAAGAAGUGCAUCAAUGUGGGGAGUGAGAGCCAACAAGCAGGGAACGUGACUCCUUGGUUUUGAGCACAGAAAGACGGGGGAGUCAGGGGAGUCGUUAUCUCAUUUACCCAAAGAGGAAACACAGAAGUGAGCACCUGUUUGGGUGCCUGGAUGGGUAGGAAUAAGGAAGUGGGGGCGCCCAUCUCCCAGCGAGCAGGGCUCCCUGAGUGCAGAGCUCCGAGGAGGGCUACCACCAGGCUCCUUCACAGAUCAGGCUGGUUGAAAAAUCUCUUCCUAAAGGACAAGGCUGUUCCAUUUCACAGCACAUCUUCCUCACUGCCGGGUGUUCCCUGGUGACAGCCUCUGCCACAGAUAUUUUUAGCAUGUGGCCUUUCCGAGCCUGAAGAGCAGCAUCUACUUCCUGGAACUCCUUCUCCAGCUGACAGCCAGUGACCCACGGAGGAGGGAGCUUCAGCUGGCCUGACGAGCCACAGCCCCGUUGCAGUGCCAAUUUGCUGGCGGGGGGUGGGGGGAGGAAGUCAGACCCCAAGUUUUACAAAAAGCCUCCAUCUCAUUCCCUUCUGGUCUGCUGCCGAGGCUUACCAGCUCCAGUGCCAAUCAGAAGCUGGGAAAUAAGAAAGCCUGCUCAUGAAUCCCAAGUGGAGGGAAGCGUCUCAUGCAAUUUACUUAUUUGACAGUUAUAUCAAGUCUGAAGGUAAUACCUGGCCAGGUAAUGGUAGAAAACCACCAGGACAUAAAUAUUGCUUUUAUAGAUCCUAGAACAGGCCUGAGUGAAAUCCCUUUGGGAUUUAUAACAUGUUCCAUCUCAUCAAAUGGAGCCAGAUUUGGAGCAAAGCAAGAAA
This is a long non-coding RNA of Canis lupus familiaris (dog), 2789 nucleotides long. RefSeq lists it as uncharacterized. NCBI's taxonomy places the organism in Eukaryota, Metazoa, Chordata, Mammalia, Carnivora, Canidae. The record is from RefSeq and is a predicted model, not a curated record. The transcript is spliced from 3 exons.